This 2142-nucleotide unclassified non-coding RNA is filed under the name uncultured fungus. Its description in RNAcentral is "sequence contains 18S rRNA gene, ITS1, 5.8S rRNA gene, ITS2, 28S rRNA gene". The stretch from base 1070 to 2142 matches the Rfam family "Eukaryotic large subunit ribosomal RNA", at positions 1 to 961 of the family's 3401-position model. The record is from RNAcentral. Lineage: Eukaryota; Fungi.
GGAAGGAUCAUUAACACGUAUCCAAACGUAAACCCCCCCGUGAACCUUUACCCUGCUCUCCUAUGUUAUCCGACAAAGGUAUUGUCUCUUGGUGGGAGCGCGCUGCCUGGUAUCUCACAUGUUCGUUAUGACUCAGAGUGCCGCUGCAUUAAUAUCUACCUAGAUGAUAUCUUCUCCGGAUAAAGCGUGGAUCGAUGCGGGUCGCAAGUAUAGGCUUGGUUGCCCCUGUUCCUCUGUCUGUCAGCGUCAGGGUGAUAGUGGGAUAUCUGGCGGCUGGUGUCUGACAGUGUCGUCAGUCGUGGACGGAUAACUGAUCGCUAGAUGAGGAGCUCCCUGGUAUCUCACAUGUUUGUUAUGACUCUGUGGGCCUCCUCGCGACCGAUCAGACCGUUUUGGCCACACGCCAAAAUUUUUCGGGCAAGUCUCGGGUUUGAGUCCCCUCCGGUAAACUACCCCAAUUCCCAUCUCGGGGGAGCUGAUGAAAGUCCCUCCCCACCAAAAACCGAACAACUGUUAACAAUGGAUAUCUUGGUUCUCGCAACGAUGAAGAACGCAGCGAAAUGCGAUACGUAAUGCGAAUUGCAGAAUUCAGUGAAUCAUCGAAUCUUUGAACGCAAAUUGCGCUCUCGGGUUACCCCCAAGAGCACACCUCUCUGAGUGUCGGUUAAACCAAAUGUCACCAAUUUAUUGGUGUACGACAGACUGAGGGUAAGGGGUCUCGGCUUCUUUCCCUUUAAAAUCGAAAAGCCGCACGAUUGCGUGUGUUAGUGGCAAGUUGUUUUCGGUUAAUAUCCCGAAUCCGAUCCACAGACCCCAUUCAUGCAGCCGAAAAAGAAACAACAGAAGAGGAAUGGGAUAUGGGUGAGACUGUUUUGUCUAGGAACGGGCCGAAGUGGUAGUAACGAUUCUGCAUACUCUGUUGAAUCAUUUGUGGGAACUUGAUUGGUAACACCGAUCUUGUAAACUGCGAACGUGAAGAUAGGAUAUUUGGAUGACGUAUUAUCGCUGACGCUUGGUCUUGUUUCCGAACGGUUGAUCUUGUGCUUGUUACUUUUCAAAUCUAUGAAUUAGACCUCAGAUGAAGUGGGAAGACCCCCUGAAUUUAAGCAUAUUAUUAAGGGGAGGAAAGAAACUAACAAGGAUUCCCCUAGUAACGGCGAGUGAAGCGGGAAAAGCUCAAAUUUAAAAUCCGCUAGUCUAACAGCUUGCGGAGUUGUAAUCUAGAGUGGCUCUCUCAGUGCAAGCCUGGUUAUAAGUCCCUUGAAACGGGGCAUCAUAGAGGGUGAGAAUCCCGUCUUUGAGCCGGAGCUAAGUACGUACGAGGAGCUUACUAAGAGUCGCGUUGCUUGGGAGUGCAGCGCUAAUUGGGUGGUAAAGUUCAUCUAAAGCUAAAUACUGGCGAGAGACCGAUAGCGAACAAGUACCGUGAGGGAAAGAUGAAAAGAACUUUGAAAAGAGAGUUAAAAAGUACUUGAAAUUGUUAACAGGGAAGGGGAGAAAACCAGUCAUUCUUCAGUUCCAUUCGCCUUUCCUUCGGGAGGGGUUAUUUGGAGCAGAAGAGUGUCGACAUCAUUUGGGUGUCUUCGCAGAAAGUGUGUGGGUUGGUGCGUUUCUUCGGAUUCGUUUAACCUGUGCGCCCUACGUUGAUCCUGGAUGAGGAGUGAUAGCCCGCGCCCUUUCGGGGGCAGAGCACUUUGAGGUCUGUUUUGCCCUAGCGCGUGAGAGAACAAAGUUCUGUCUGUGCGAAAGGUGAAUACUGCUUUGGAUGUGUUACUUGCUGGGCUCGCGAUGUCGACGAAAUGGUUCUCUUCCACCCGUCUUGAAACACGGACCAAGGAGUCUAACAUAUAUGCGAGUAUUUGGGUGAGAAACCCUGAUGCGCAAUGAAAGUAAAGAGCCGAAAGGCUUGAGGUAGGAAUCCUGCCCUCGGGUGGGAGGCACUAUCGACCGAUCGUUCGCUUGCGGAAGAUUUGAGUAAUAGCAUAUAUGUUGGGACCCGAAAGAUGGUGAUCUAUGCCUGAACAGGGUGAAGCCAGGGGAAACUCUGGUGGAAGCUCGUAGCGAUACUGACGUGCAAAUCGUUCGUCUGAUUUGGGUAUAGGGGCGAAAGACUAAUCGAACCAUCUAGUAGCUGGUUCCCUC